This 1131-nucleotide ribosomal RNA is filed under the name Pseudoalteromonas tetraodonis. Its description in RNAcentral is "partial 16S ribosomal RNA". It matches the Rfam family "Bacterial small subunit ribosomal RNA", at positions 53 to 1180 of the family's 1533-position model. Lineage: Bacteria; Pseudomonadati; Pseudomonadota; Gammaproteobacteria; Alteromonadales; Pseudoalteromonadaceae. The record is from RNAcentral.
ACAUGCAAGUCGAGCGGUAACAGAGAGUAGCUUGCUACUUUGCUGACGAGCGGCGGACGGGUGAGUAAUGCUUGGGAACAUGCCUUGAGGUGGGGGACAACAGUUGGAAACGACUGCUAAUACCGCAUAAUGUCUACGGACCAAAGGGGGCUUCGGCUCUCGCCUUUAGAUUGGCCCAAGUGGGAUUAGCUAGUUGGUGAGGUAAUGGCUCACCAAGGCGACGAUCCCUAGCUGGUUUGAGAGGAUGAUCAGCCACACUGGGACUGAGACACGGCCCAGACUCCUACGGGAGGCAGCAGUGGGGAAUAUUGCACAAUGGGCGCAAGCCUGAUGCAGCCAUGCCGCGUGUGUGAAGAAGGCCUUCGGGUUGUAAAGCACUUUCAGUCAGGAGGAAAGGUUAGUAGUUAAUACCUGCUAGCUGUGACGUUACUGACAGAAGAAGCACCGGCUAACUCCGUGCCAGCAGCCGCGGUAAUACGGAGGGUGCGAGCGUUAAUCGGAAUUACUGGGCGUAAAGCGUACGCAGGCGGUUUGUUAAGCGAGAUGUGAAAGCCCCGGGCUCAACCUGGGAACUGCAUUUCGAACUGGCAAACUAGAGUGUGAUAGAGGGUGGUAGAAUUUCAGGUGUAGCGGUGAAAUGCGUAGAGAUCUGAAGGAAUACCGAUGGCGAAGGCAGCCACCUGGGUCAACACUGACGCUCAUGUACGAGAGCGUGGGGAGCAAACAGGAUUAGAUACCCUGGUAGUCCACGCCGUAAACGAUGUCUACUAGAAGCUCGGAACCUCGGUUCUGUUUUUCAGAGCUAACGCAUUAAGUAGACCGCCUGGAGAGUACGGCCGCAAGGUUAAAACUCAAAUGAAUUGACGGGGGCCCGCACAAGCGGUGGAGCAUGUGGUUUAAUUCGAUGCAACGCGAAGAACCUUACCUACACUUGACAUACAGAGAACUUACCAGAAGAUGGUUUGGUGCCUUCGGGAACUCUGAUACAGGUGCUGCAUGGCUGUCGUCAGCUCGUGUUGUGAGAUGUUGGGUUAAGUCCCGCAACGAGCGCACCCCUAUCCUUAGUUGCUAGCAGGUAAUGCUGAGAACUCUAAGGAGACUGCCGGUGAUAAACCGGAGGAAGGUGGGGAC